Molecule: ribosomal RNA, 407 nt
Filed under: uncultured bacterium
Lineage: Bacteria
Description: partial 16S ribosomal RNA
Rfam family: Bacterial small subunit ribosomal RNA
Source: RNAcentral
GACGAACGCUGGCGGCGUGCCUAAUACAUGCAAGUAGGACGCAGUUGCGAACGGGUGAGUCACGCGUAGGUCACUGCCUAUUAGAGGGGGAUAACUAUUGGAAACGAUAGCUAAUACCGCAUACUAGUAGAUGGACCUGCGUUGUAUUAGCUAGUAGGUAGGGUAAUGGCCUACCUAGGCGACGAUACAUAGCCGACCUGAGAGGGUGAUCGGCCAAACUGGGACUGAGACCCGGCCCAGACUCCGCCGGGAGGCAGCAGUAAGGAAUCUUCGGCAAUGGACGAAAGUCUGACCGAGCAACGCCGCGUGAGUGAAGAAGGUUUUCGGAUCGUAAAGCUCUGUUGUUAAGGAAGCGGUACUUAACCAGAAAGGGACGGCUAACUACGUGCCAGCCGCCGCGGUAAUAC